AUGCACGCGACCUCUCCUUUCCUCUCCAAUCUCUCUCGUUUUUCCUUCACAUCGGCAAGGGUUGCCGCCGCCGCCGCCUCGCUCACUCCCCAAAUUUUCUCCCCCCUCCCCAAAUCCUGCAGCGGCCGCCUCUGCUGCUCCUGCGCCUGGUCGUCGCCGCCUCUGCUGCUCCUGCGCGUGGUCGUCAGCGCCUCUCCUCCCACCUCAGCGUCCAACCGCCUCAGUGCCUCUUCCUCUUCAUCUCGGACGGCGUCGAGUGCGGCCGCCCCGUGCUCUCUCUCUCUCUCCCAGGUCGACCCAGGAGGAGCUCGAGCGGCAGCGCUGGUCCACGGCGCCGUCGUUGUUGGCAGGAGCGUGAGCGCACAGACGGUCGUCUCCCUCCGGCUUCAUGUCGCCGUCCAUCAACCCGUGAGGUCAGUCCCUGCGUCCUCGCCUCAACCCUCGCUGUCACGCAAGCCUUCUCCUCCGUCCUCUCAAUGUUUUGCGAUGAACUGGCUGCCGACGCUGCAGUGUAGACCACCAUGA
This 525-nucleotide ribosomal RNA is filed under the name Triticum aestivum (bread wheat). RNAcentral's name for it is "partial small subunit ribosomal RNA". Lineage: Eukaryota; Viridiplantae; Streptophyta; Magnoliopsida; Poales; Poaceae. The record is from RNAcentral.